This 285-nucleotide long non-coding RNA is filed under the name Cavia porcellus (domestic guinea pig). RNAcentral describes it as "lncRNA (ENSCPOG00000031379.1)". The record is from RNAcentral. Lineage: Eukaryota; Metazoa; Chordata; Mammalia; Rodentia; Caviidae.
UAGGAAUAAGCCUGAUGUAGUGGACAAUUUUAAUGUGGUGACUCUCUCUGACAAUUCUUCUAUCAUAUCCAGGGAAAGGGGACAUCAGAACCUAAGAACUUGGACUGGAUCAGACUCUGCAAGAAUGCCUGCAACCUGACAGGAAGAAGACUUGAGCCUGAGUUAGCUUCAGUUAUGAUUUCACCAUGCAUACCCAAAAAAAUGGCAUCAGAGCAUGGAGAAGCAAGGAAAUAGAAUACAGAUGAAUUCUGCCAAGUCUCUCAAGGUCGAGCAAGUGCAAAAGAG